GCGACCCCAGGUUAGGCCGAGCCACCCACUGAGUU
RNAcentral lists this ribosomal RNA (35 nucleotides) under Platanus rzedowskii. RNAcentral describes it as "partial 25S ribosomal RNA". Lineage: Eukaryota; Viridiplantae; Streptophyta; Magnoliopsida; Proteales; Platanaceae. The record is from RNAcentral.